This 887-nucleotide long non-coding RNA is filed under the name Gopherus evgoodei (Goodes thornscrub tortoise). RNAcentral's name for it is "lncRNA (ENSGEVG00005016000.1)". Lineage: Eukaryota; Metazoa; Chordata; Testudines; Testudinidae. The record is from RNAcentral.
UGCUUUUUUGCAUCCGUCUGAGUUUUCUUCUGUCUGUCCUGGGAACACUGCUAUAUGCUGGUAUCCAGUUCUAGUCUACAUGGAUGGAAGCAGAAUGAAAGGUGGGAGUUGCUUGCUAAGCGCCUCUCAGCAUCUGGUUCUAAAACAAACAAACCUCUUAAUCUACUUUUUUGGUCCUGUAUUAAUCUUCACUCUGCAUAUCCCGUUGACCAGUGUCUGCACACUUCAGUGACUAAUGGAAAUAUCUGAUACCGUGUAUGAAAGAAAGAAGCUUCAGAAUUUAUGGAUAGCAGACUCUAUGUGCAUCUCUGAAAGGUGAAGGCCAUAUUUUUUUAGAGCAGUAACUUGAUUUUUCUUUGUCACUUUUGUUGUCAUAUUUCACACGGUAGUAUGCAACAUAUCAAGGUUUAAGUCCCCUGUCAUGAUUUUUAUACUAGUUUUGCAUUUAUUCUAGACAUACUGUCUGGCUGCACAUUGAAUAAUACAUUUAAAAUGGGGCUUUUUGUAAUUAGCUCUUAGACUAUCUACAUAUGAAUGCCGAAGACUAAAUUCUGCUCUCAUUUACAUUGGUGUAAAUCCAGGCAAGUUACUCCGGAUUUAUAUAGGUGUAUCUGAGAGGAAAAUUUGGCCUUGUAUCUGUUAUCCUGUUUGCUGAUCUAAUACAACAUGUUAAAAGGAAAAUGUUAUUUGGCAAAACUGGAUUAUUUGAUUUUCUUCUGUCGCAAACUGAAUGUCACUGUUAUAUCACUGCUUUUGUUAGUUGCUUUUAGCAUCUUUGUGUAAAGUAUCCAACAGUCUGAACCACAGGAGCCAAAUGGAAGGUACAAAGUAAGCUUCAUGUUCAGUGUUUAGAAAUGUUAAAAAGAAGAGAGUGGAAAAGCUGGUGG